UGCCUAAUACAUAGCAAGUCGAACGGCGUUUUCUAUGGAAGUUUGCUUCCACUGAGAAGAGUAGUGGCGAACGGGUGAGUAACACGUGGGUAACCUGCCCAUAAGAGGGGGAUAACAUCCGGAAACGGGUGCUAAUACCGCAUAGUUUUCUUGAUCGCAUGAUUGAGAAAGGAAAGACGGCCUUUGUGCUGUCGCUUAUGGAUGGACCCGCGGCGUAUUAGUUAGUUGGUGAGGUAACGGCUCACCAAGGCGAUGAUACGUAGCCGACCUGAGAGGGUGAUCGGCCACAUUGGGACUGAGACACGGCCCAAACUCCUACGGGAGGCAGCAGUAGGGAAUCUUCCGCAAUGGACGAAAGGUCUGACGGAGCAACGCCGCGUGAGUGAAGAAAAGGUUUUCGGAUCGUAAAACUCUGUUGUCAGAGAAGAACAAGUUGGAGACGUUAACUCGCGUCAGCCUUGACGGUAUCUGACCAGAAAGCCACGGCUAACUACGUGCCAGCAGCGGC
This 508-nucleotide ribosomal RNA is filed under the name uncultured bacterium. Its description in RNAcentral is "bacterial SSU rRNA". It matches the Rfam family "Bacterial small subunit ribosomal RNA", at positions 45 to 518 of the family's 1533-position model. The record is from RNAcentral.